RNAcentral lists this ribosomal RNA (495 nucleotides) under uncultured bacterium. Its description in RNAcentral is "partial 16S ribosomal RNA". It matches the Rfam family "Bacterial small subunit ribosomal RNA", at positions 28 to 507 of the family's 1533-position model. The record is from RNAcentral.
GACGAACGCUGGCGGCGUGCUUAAUCCAUGCACGUGGAACGCUGAAGGAGGAGCUUGCUUCUCUGGAUGAGUUGCGAACGGGUGAGUAACGCGUAGUUAACCUGCCUGGUAGCGGGGGACAACUAUUGGAAACGAUAGCUAAUACCGCAUAAGAGUCGCUGUUGCAUGACAUUUGCCUGACAGGUGCAAUUGCAUCACUACCAGAUGGACCUGCGCUGUCUUAGCUAGUUGGUGGGGUAACGGCUUACCAAGGCGACGAUACAUAGCCGAGCUGAGAGGGUGAGCAGCCACACUGAGACUGAGACACGGCGCAUGCCCCUACGAGAGGCAGCAGUAGGGGAACGUCAGAGAUGGACGGAAAGCCAGCCGAGCCACGCCGCGUGAGUGAAGAAGGUGUUCGGAUCGUAAAGAGCGGUUGGAAGAGAAGAAAGAGUGUGGGAGGGGAAAGUUCACACGGUGACGGUAUCUUACCAGAAAGGGACGGCUAACUACGUG